Cannabis sativa is the source of this 1275-nucleotide RNA transcript. RefSeq lists it as uncharacterized. Lineage: Eukaryota; Viridiplantae; Streptophyta; Magnoliopsida; Rosales; Cannabaceae. The transcript is spliced from 4 exons. The record is from RefSeq and is a predicted model, not a curated record.
AUGAAGAUGCGCGCCAGUGCCACUCCCAUGCUGACUCUCACAGUUCCAACCUCUCUUUCUCCUUCGCUCCUUUUCUUCCACCGAAGAAAGCCCUCUUUUCUCUUCUCCAACCCUAAGCCCUUUCUCUUUCUUCUUCACCACUCUUCUACUGUUUCAUCUUCUUCUUCUUCUUCUUCCUUCCGACUCCGUUGUUCCUCCUCCACUUCCCAUUCCCAAUCUAUAUCGGAAUCAGAAUCGGAGGAUGGUGUUUGCAUAGAGAUCAAGAAACUUCCCAACAACUCACGCAGAAUACUCUCCUCCGUCGCCAUUAACGCUUCUCUCCUAGCUGUGUGGAAUGUCCUGACUGAUUACGAAGGAUUGGCCGAUUUCAUUCCCGGUCUUGCUAUUAGCCAGUUGCUUGAUAGGGGCCCUGAUUAUGCACGACUCUUUCAGGUGGGUGAGCAGAACUUGGCCCUUGGCCUUAAAUUCAAUGCUAAAGGGGUUGUUGACUGUUAUGAGAAGCCACUUGAAAUCCUUCCCUCUGCCCAGAAGCGUGAGAUUGAGUUUAACAUGGUAGACGGAGACUUCCAGCUCUUCCAAGGAAAAUGGUCAAUUCUACAACAUGAUAGUGGAGGAGAGGACCAAGAAAUGAAUACAACUCUUUCAUAUUUGGUUGAUGUACAGCCAAAGCUUUGGUUGCCUGUACAGCUUGUUGAGGGAAGACUUUCCAAUGAGAUAAAGGUGAACCUUGCCUGCAUCAGAGAAGAAGCAGAGAAAGCAUUUAGCAAUACUAUGCGCUCUCUUUGAUGUCAUCUUAAAUUGUUUUCUAUUCCCUCGAUCACUAUUGUUUACUGAAUUCUAAAAUCAGUAACAAAAUUAUAAUGUGCAUCUUUCUCAAGUAUGUUAGCUGAGUCCAUAUAUUAUCCUGCUUGCAAUGAAGCUCCAAUUGGGUUUCAGCUUAUGUUGCUCAUUUCCUUUCAAGAAGGGCGUGCUCAUAGUUUGUUAUUGUAAUGUCCUUAAGUUGAGUUGUGGAGGAGUGAAAGUGGUGUCAGCUGCAGACUGCAACGGCUCCGCAUUCUCAGGAUGCCUUAGUGUUCAUAUAACCGAGAGAAGCGAAAAGGAGGGAAGUAUUUGGAGGUCAUCUGGAUAAAUUACUACUUCAUAUUUGCAUUCUUUUAGGUAGUUUUUUUCUUUCUUUUUCUUUCAUUUCUCCUCGAAAUUGUAAUUAUUUUUUUGGUACGAGUAAAUCAAUCAUCUUUAGAAAUAAAAGUCCCAAUGCUCUCAUCUCAUCUAGUA